GGACCCUUUCCAGCCUUUCCGUGGUGGGCAGCUGCUUGACUUGGCCAUCCAUCCUGUUUCCUAUUUGCACUUGGUCCACAGCUCACAGACACACAAAGGAGAGACCCUUUUGUCAGUGUUUACGACNGCUGUUUAUAUGGCGCUAUCCCCCCUUCCCCCGGAGGGCCAGGGCUUCAACACGGAACAUUUCUUAUCUUUCUAAAGGUCAAAAGCUCAGGCUGGUUCCUGCGCCAUUCACUGGAUGCAGAGGGGAUAUAAAAACCUCCUCUGGAAGUACUCAAGGUACCCUUGCCUUCCAUGUGGCGAUAACGCAGGCUGGGAUGGGGGGAUUAUGUUCCCGCGGCGAGCAGAAGACCACGUACGUGAACAGCAAAGGUUGAAGUUCAGAAAUGCAUCCAUAAGAACACAAGAUGAACCUUCUGGAUCAGGCCAUGACCCAUCUAGUCCAGCAUCCUGUCUCAUACAGUGGCCCACCAAUUGCUUCUGGAUCUUCUCAAGCAGAAGACGAAGACAAAACCUUCACCUGCUCUUGCCUCCCUACAAAUGGCCUUUAAAGGCAUCCUGCCUGUCUCUCCAACCUGGAAGCACUACGUAGGCACCCAUUCUAGUAGCCACUGAUGCACCUGUCCCCCAUGAAUUUGCCUAACCCUUUCUUAAAGCUAUCCAGCCU
This 670-nucleotide long non-coding RNA is filed under the name Salvator merianae (Argentine black and white tegu). RNAcentral's name for it is "lncRNA (ENSSMRG00000008836.1)". The record is from RNAcentral. Lineage: Eukaryota; Metazoa; Chordata; Lepidosauria; Squamata; Teiidae.